GGCUAGAGCUCAGUGGUAGAGCAUCUGUUUUGCAAACAAAAGAUCCCAGGUUUGAUUCUGAACUUCUCCAGGUUGGGCUG
Molecule: non-coding RNA, 80 nt
Organism: Podarcis lilfordi (Lilford's wall lizard)
Lineage: Eukaryota; Metazoa; Chordata; Lepidosauria; Squamata; Lacertidae
Source: the annotation of a GenBank genome assembly